RNAcentral lists this ribosomal RNA (292 nucleotides) under uncultured bacterium. RNAcentral describes it as "partial 16S ribosomal RNA". It matches the Rfam family "Bacterial small subunit ribosomal RNA", at positions 505 to 796 of the family's 1533-position model. The record is from RNAcentral.
GUGCCAGCAGCCGCGGUAAUACAGAGGGUGCGAGCGUUGUCCGGAAUCACUGGGCGUAAAGGGCGCGUAGGUGGCAGGCCAAGUCAGUGGUGAAAGCUCGAUGCUCAACAUCGAGUCGGCCACUGAUACUGGUUUGCUCGAGCACUGUAGAGGCAGAUGGAAUUCCGGGUGUAGCGGUGGAAUGCGUAGAGAUCCGGAAGAACACCGGUGGCGAAGGCGGUCUGCUGGGCAGUUGCUGACACUGAGGCGCGACAGCGUGGGGAGCAAACAGGAUUAGAUACCCUGGUAGUCC